Molecule: ribosomal RNA, 253 nt
Filed under: uncultured bacterium
Lineage: Bacteria
Description: partial 16S ribosomal RNA
Rfam family: Bacterial small subunit ribosomal RNA
Source: RNAcentral
UACGUAGGGUGCAAGCGUUGUCCGGAUUUAUUGGGUUUAAAGGGUGCGUAGGCGGCCCAUUAAGUCCGUGGUGAAAGCCAACAGCUCAACUGUUGAACUGCCAUGGAUACUGAUGGGCUUGAGUACAGACGAGGUAGGCGGAAUGGAUGCUGUAGCGGUGAAAUGCAUAGAUAGCAUCCAGAACCCCGAUUGCGUAGGCAGCUUACUAGGCUGUAACUGACGCUGAGGCACGAAAGCGUGGGGAGCGAACAGG